Molecule: long non-coding RNA, 501 nt
Filed under: Homo sapiens (human)
Lineage: Eukaryota; Metazoa; Chordata; Mammalia; Primates; Hominidae
Description: HSALNT0171454
Source: RNAcentral
AUAGAGAGACAGAAUAUCACUGGUGAAAGAGAAAUCACAAUGGGAUCUGAUGGAGAAGGCCACACACAUCUGUAGGUCUUGGAUUUUUUGCUGCAUAGAGUAAUCAGAUGAGAGCUUGGGUGGUCUCCCUUGAUAAGGAGGGUCAUGGGUGGCAAAAUAAAAACAGAGAAGAUGUGGACCAUGUCAUCAUUUAAUGAAGGAAAGAACUGAAAAUUGUAUUUGAGAACAAAGACACUAAACUUACCACCAUGCCAAAAGUAGAAGAGAUAUGAGAAACUAAAUGAUCCCCACUUAGUAGGAAGCAUAAUAUUGCAUCAGAAAUAAAAUGGGAAUAAUUAUAGCACCUGCUUUAUUUGCAUUUUGUGACCAAUAAAUGAAAGAGUGUAUCUGCAAAGUUUUUACUUCAAGAACUCAAGGUACCAUGUAGUAAGAGCUGAACACACAGGAGCUGCCUUUGUUAUCAAGAUUUCUCACUAAUACAGCAUAUUCAAGAUAGAAUUC